RNAcentral lists this ribosomal RNA (497 nucleotides) under uncultured bacterium. RNAcentral describes it as "partial 16S ribosomal RNA". It matches the Rfam family "Bacterial small subunit ribosomal RNA", at positions 28 to 507 of the family's 1533-position model. The record is from RNAcentral.
GAUGAACGCUGGCGGCGUGCCUAAUACAUGCAAGUCGAGCGAACAGACGAGGAGCUUGCUCCUCUGACGUUAGCGGCGGACGGGUGAGUAACACGUGGAUAACCUACCUAUAAGACUGGGAUAACUUCGGGAAACCGGAGCUAAUACCGGAUAAUAUAUUGAACCGCAUGGUUCAAUAGUGAAAGACGGUUUUGCUGUCACUUAUAGAUGGAUCCGCGCCGCAUUAGCUAGUUGGUAAGGUAACGGCUUACCAAGGCAACGAUGCGUAGCCGACCUGAGAGGGUGAUCCGCCACACUGGAACUGAGACACGGUCCAGACUCCUACGGGAGGCAGCAGUAGGGAAUCUUCCGCAAUGGGCGAAAGCCUGACGGAGCAACGCCGCGUGAGUGAUGAAGGUCUUCGGAUCGUAAAACUCUGUUAUUAGGGAAGAACAAAUGUGUAAGUAACUAUGCACGUCUUGACGGUACCUAAUCAGAAAUCCACGGCUAACUACGUG